RNAcentral lists this ribosomal RNA (422 nucleotides) under uncultured bacterium. RNAcentral's name for it is "partial 16S ribosomal RNA". It matches the Rfam family "Bacterial small subunit ribosomal RNA", at positions 360 to 774 of the family's 1533-position model. The record is from RNAcentral.
AAUUUUGGACAAUGGGGGAAACCCUGAUCCAGCCAUCCCGCGUGUGCGAUGAAGGCCUUCGGGUUGUAAAGCACUUUUGGCAGGGAAGAAAAGGCUCUGGUUAAUACCUGGAGAUGCUGACGGUACCUGCAGAAUAAGCACCGGCUAACUACGUGCCACAAGCCGCGGUAAUACUUAGGGGGAAAGCGUUAACCGGAAUUACUGGGCGUAAAGCGUGCCCCGGCGGUUUGGCAAGAAGGAUGUGAAAUCCCAGGGCUUAACCUUGGAACUGCAUUCUUAACUGCCAGGCUAGAGUAUGUCAGAGGGGGGUAGAAUUCCGCGUGUAGCAGUGAAAUGCGUAGAGAUGCGGAGGAAUACCGAUGGCGAAGGCAGCCCCCUGGGAUAAUACUGACGCUCAUGCACGAAAGCGUGGGGAGCAAACA